GGAUGUGAGAGGCUUUCUGGCUGCGACAUCUAUCACUCCAGAGGUCACCAGGGUUGAUCGGGCUGAUCUGGCUGACGAGGAAGGUGUCCCCUUCCUCCCUCACUGCUCCGUGGGCAUCCCUUCCCUCGAAGCUUCACGCUCAGUGAAAAAGGACGACCACCCCCCAUAGCAGAGGACCUUUUUGUUUCCUUGGUCAAGCAUAUAGAGUGUAGAAAUAGUUGUGCUCUCCUGCUAGAACCUCCAAACAAGCUCUCAAAGAUAAGUGCAGUAGAUCUACACCAGUAAUUCAAUGUAGUAGGUGCAGAAGAAAAUUGUGCUAUGUAAUCAGUU
This 330-nucleotide small nuclear RNA is filed under the name Heterocephalus glaber (naked mole-rat). Its description in RNAcentral is "7SK RNA". It matches the Rfam family "7SK RNA". From Rfam's summary of the family: 7SK was discovered as an abundant small nuclear RNA in the mid-70s but a possible function has only recently been suggested. Two independent studies have found that 7SK RNA binds the CDK9/cyclin T complex (known as elongation factor P-TEFb). Lineage: Eukaryota; Metazoa; Chordata; Mammalia; Rodentia; Bathyergidae. The record is from Rfam by way of RNAcentral.